UAAUAAUAGCUCUGAUUUAAAUGCCCUAAAAAUAUUAAAAAAUGCAUUUGUGACUGAAAAACUCUAAAGAUUGCCCUUUAAUAAAUUAAACUGGCUAAAAGCGCCUUAAAAUUGGCCACACGCACCACCGAUAUAAUAUUUUCGCUCAAUAAGAAAAUACUUCAAUGAAAGUUGCUUUGUCUAAUUUAAAAUCAGAUUACCAGAUGUUAAAUUAUUUAAGAUAAAAAUUAUUUAAAUUACGUAGUACUAUGUUUAUAUUUCAAUGAAGUUAAUUUUUUAGUAAUAAUACGAGAAAUACGUCUAAAAUAUCUUCAAAUGCGUUACAAAUGACGAAAAUGCCCUUAACAUUUUUUUAUAGUUACAUCACAGAGUACUUAAAAUAUAUUUGUAGCUUAGAUAGCCUCAUGUAAGAUAUUCCAAAAAAAAAAAUAUGCAAAUGUAUUGAAAUCCGAGCUCUAAUUAUCAAAUAUAUAAAAACACAAAUAUAGUUAUUUGUUUUUUAUUUUAAGUUAUAGGCAAUGAACCGAAAAACUAUUUGAUAUUACAAUGUAAUAUUCAAUUAAUUUAUUGGUACUGUUUAACUUUAACUGCAAAUUAAAGUUGGGUAAUAAAUUAACAAUAGGAUAGUAUUCAAAG
Molecule: non-coding RNA, 636 nt
Organism: Cinara cedri
Lineage: Eukaryota; Metazoa; Arthropoda; Insecta; Hemiptera; Aphididae
Source: the annotation of a GenBank genome assembly